RNAcentral lists this ribosomal RNA (254 nucleotides) under uncultured bacterium. RNAcentral describes it as "partial 16S ribosomal RNA". It matches the Rfam family "Bacterial small subunit ribosomal RNA", at positions 524 to 776 of the family's 1533-position model. The record is from RNAcentral.
UACGUAGGGUGCAAGCGUUGUCCGGAUUUAUUGGGCGUAAAGAGCUCGUAGGCGGUCUGUCGCGUCGGAUGUGAAAACCCAGGGCUCAACCCUGGGCCUGCAUUCGAUACGGGCAGACUAGAGUGUGGCAGGGGAGACUGGAAUUCCUGGUGUAGCGGUGAAAAUGCGCAGAUAUCAGGAGGAACACCGGUGGCGAAGGCGGGUCUCUGGGCCAAUACUGACGCUGAGGAGCGAAAGCGUGGGGAGCGAACAGG